RNAcentral lists this ribosomal RNA (587 nucleotides) under uncultured bacterium. Its description in RNAcentral is "bacterial SSU rRNA". It matches the Rfam family "Bacterial small subunit ribosomal RNA", at positions 28 to 649 of the family's 1533-position model. The record is from RNAcentral.
AAUCAACGCUGGCGGCGUGCCUAACACAUGCAAGUCGCACGAGAAAGGGGCUUCGGCCCUGAGUACAGUGGCGCACGGGUGAGUAACACGUGAAUCAUCUACCUUCGAGUGGGGAAUAACUGGGAGAAAUCUCAGCUAAUACCGCAUAAUACCUACGGGUCAAAGCAGCAAUGCGCUUGAAGAGGAGUUCGCGGCAGAUUAGUUAGUUGGCAGGGUAAUGGCCUACCAAGACGAUGAUCUGUAUCCGGCCUGAGAGGGCGCACGGACACACUGGAACUGAAACACGGUCCAGACUCCUACGGGAGGCAGCAGUGGGGAAUUUUGCGCAAUGGGGGAAACCCUGACGCAGCAACGCCGCGUGGAGGAUGAAAUCCCUUGGGAUGUAAACUCCUUUCGAUAGGGAAGAUAAUGACGGUACCUAUAGAAGAAGCCCCGGCUAACUUCGUGCCAGCAGCCGCGGUAAUACGAGGGGGGCAAGCGUGUCGGAAUUAUGGGGCGUAAAGGGUGCGUAGGCGGUCUGACAAGUCUGAUGUGAAAUCUAUGGGCUCAACCCAUAGGUCUGCAUCGGAAACUGUCGGCCUGAGUAU